Molecule: long non-coding RNA, 1287 nt
Filed under: Macaca mulatta (Rhesus monkey)
Lineage: Eukaryota; Metazoa; Chordata; Mammalia; Primates; Cercopithecidae
Description: lncRNA (ENSMMUG00000049860.1)
Source: RNAcentral
CUUCCAAGGAGGAGUACAUGAAAAAUGUAAAAUGGCAAAGUGUUACUCCAAUACUGUUCCUUCCUGGAAAAGAAAAGUUUUCUCAUGAAAACAAGAAAAGCCAAAUUCGCAAUGAGACCAAGGCAGGAAAAUAUAUCAAGAAAGAACAAAUUUAAGAAAGCGUGAGUUGCUCUUGAGGAGGCCAGGAUUUCAAUGUGGACUUCAGGAGACAUUUACUUGGAGGCAUCUUAAUUCUUGAAGCAGAAAGGCCCAACUUUGCCCUCCAUACUGAAACAGAAGGUAAAUUGUGACUGUUAAGUCAAACCUAACUUAGGAUAUCCAUCCUCGAAAAAUUUCUUUUGCAUCUAAAGCUAUGUAGACAGUUAACUUCUAUUUCUUAAACAUUUGUUUAUUGAAUUUGAAUUUCAAAUGUAGAAACAAUCUGUGAAAGUAACAGGAACUCUCAUUCAUUGCUGGGAGGAAUGCAAACUAGUACAGCCACUUUGGAAGACAGUUUGGCAGUUUCUUACAAAACUAAAUGCUCUUACCAUACGAUCCAGCAAUCACACUCCUAGGUAUUUUUCCAACUGAGUUGAAAACAUACGUCCACAUAAAAACCUGCCCAUGAAUGUUUAUAUCAAAUCAUAAUUGCCAAAACCUGAAAGCAACCAAGAUGUCCUUCAAUAGGUGAAUGGAGAAACAAACUGUGGUACAUCCUGACAAUGUAACAUUCAGCUAUAAAAAGAAAUGAGCUAUCAAGCCACAAAAAGACAUGCAGGAAACUUAAAUGCAUAUUGCAAAAUAAAAGCAGUCAGUCUAUAAAGGCUACAUCCUGUGCGAUGCCAAGUAUAUGACACUCUAAAAAAGGUAAAACUAUGGAGAUAGUAAAACGAUUAGUGGUUGCCAGGGGCUCGGGAGAGGGACGUAUGAAUAGGUGGAGCACAGAAGAUUCCUAAGGCAGUGAAACUAUUCUGUAUGACACUGUAAUAAUAGACACAUAUCAUUAUACAUUUGUUAAAAACCACAGAAUGUACAACACAAAAAGUGAGCCCUAAUGGAAACUACAGACUUUAGUUAAUAAUAGUGAGUCAAUAUUGGUUUAUCGAUUGUACAAAGGUACCACACCAAUGCAAGAUGUUAGCAACAAGGAAUCUUUGUGUGGUCAAAAGAAGACAUAUGGGAACUCUCUGUACUGUCUGCCCAAUUUUUCUAUAAACCUGAAACUGCUAUAAAAAUAUAAAGUAUAAUAAUAUUUUUAAGUAGCCAUGAAAACAUUCCAAGACAGUUUGCCGUUUUCCUUGUUCAAAG